GACGAACGCUGGCGGCGUGCUUAGCACAUGCAAGUCGAACGCUGAAGCUUGGUGCUUGCCCUGGGUGGAUGAGUGGCGAACGGGUGAGUAAUACGUGAGUAACCUGCCCUUGACUCUGGGAUAAGCCUGGGAAACUGGGUCUAAUACUGGAUACGACAUGUCACCGCAUGGUGGUGUGUGGAAAGGGUUUUACUGGUUUUGGAUGGGCUCACGGCCUAUCAGCUUGUUGGUGGGGUAAUGGCUCACCAAGGCGACGACGGGUAGCCGGCCUGAGAGGGUGACCGGCCACACUGGGACUGAGACACGGCCCAGACUCCUACGGGAGGCAGCAGUGGGGAAUAUUGCACAAUGGGCGGAAGCCUGAUGCAGCGACGCCGCGUGAGGGAUGACGGCCUUCGGGUUGUAAACCUCUUUCAGCACGGAAGAAGCGAAAGUGACGGUACGUGCAGAAGAAGCGCCGGCUAACUACGUG
RNAcentral lists this ribosomal RNA (472 nucleotides) under uncultured bacterium. Its description in RNAcentral is "partial 16S ribosomal RNA". It matches the Rfam family "Bacterial small subunit ribosomal RNA", at positions 28 to 507 of the family's 1533-position model. The record is from RNAcentral.